GAAAGUAAUGAAGGGCGUACGGUGGAUGCCUAGGCUCUUACAGGCGAUGAAGGACGUGAUAAGCUGCGAAAAGCCGCGGUGAGGCGCAAAUGGCCCUUGACCCGCGGAUCUCCGAAUGGGACAACCCAAUAUCUUGAAGAGAUAUUAUCCCGCCGAUGCGGGAGGCGAACGCGGGGAACUGAAACAUCUUAGUACCCGCAGGAAAAGAAAAUAAAGAAUGAUUCCCCCAGUAGUGGCGAGCGACCGGGGAAGAGCCCAAACCGACGUUGUCUCGGCAUCGUCGGGGUUGUAGGACCGCGCCAUCGCAAGAAAGGCCGUGAGUGGAAGCGACUGGAAAGCCGCGCCAUAGAGGGUGACAGCCCCUUACACGAAGCAGCCUGAAGCGUAGCGGACUCCUGAGUAGCGCGGGACACGAGUAAUCCUGUGUGAAUCCGCCGGGCCCAUCCGGCAAGGCUAAAUACUCGUAAGAGACCGAUAGUGAACCAGUACCGUGAGGGAAAGGUGAAAAGUACCCCUUGCAGGGGAGUGAAAUAGUUCCUGAAACCGUACGCCUACAAGCGGUCGGAGCAUCUUGAAUGAUGUGACGGCGUGCCUUUUGCAUAAUGAACCUACGAGUUGCCGUCACCAGCGAGGUUAAGUGCGAUGACGCACCGAGCCGCAGCGGAAGCGAGUCUUAAAAGGGCGCGAUAGUUGGUGGAGGCAGACGCGAAACCGAGUGAUCUACACUUGUCCAGGAUGAAGUCCCGGUAACACGGGAUGGAGGUCCGCACCAAUAAGCGUUGAAAAGCUUCUGGAUGAGGUGAGUGUAGGAGUGAAAGGCCAAUCAAACUCGGAGAUAGCUCGUACUCCCCGAAAGGCAUUUAGGUGCCGCCUGUGGCGUUCCCGACGUGAGGUAGAGCGACUGAUAGGAUGCGAGGGCUUCACCGCCUAUCAAGUCCUGACAAACUCCGAAUGCACGUCGGCCAAGCCAUGGAGUAAGGGCAUGGGUGCUAAGGUCCGUGCCCGAGAGGAGAAGAAUCCAGACCACCGGCUAAGGUCCCGAAAUACUGGUUAAGUUAGACUAACGCAGUCCGGCCCCCAAGACAGCUAGGAUGUUGGCUUGGAAGCAGCCAUUCAUUCAAAGAGUGCGUAACAGCUCACUAGUCGAGGAGCUGGGCGUGGAUAAUAAUCGGGUAUAAAACCAGUUACCGAAGCCGUGGGAUGCUUAAGCAUCGGUAGGGGAGCAUUGCAUGCGGCUUAGAAGGCGGGGCGCGAGCCCCUCUGGAGCGCAUGGAAACGCAAAUGUAGGUAUAAGUAACGACAAGGGGGGUGGGAUGCCCCCCCGCCGAAAGACCAAGGUUUCCUGAACAACGCUAAUCGGUUCAGGGUCAGUCGGGUCCUAAGCAUAAGCCGUAUGGCGAGGGCGAUGGAUGAAACGGUUAAUAUUCCGUUACUGUCUUGGUGUGUGACGCGGCGACGGAGUAGUGACACGGCCGCCUCCUGACGGAAAAGGGGGUUGAAGCGCAAAGGUGUCGAGGAAGGCAGGCAAAUCCACCUUCCGAGCCGAAGCGCGAUAGUACGCCGCGCCCUUUUGGGCAAGGCGAUAGUGCCGGUAAUCAGACUUCCAAGAAAACCCGCUAAACUUCAGCACCAAGUCACCCGUACUCUAAACGGACACACGUGGUCGGGUAGAAUAUACUAAGGCGCUUGGGAGAUUCACGGUUAAGGAACUAGGCAAAUUGACCCCGUACCUUCGGAAUAAGGGGUCCUCGCUUUUGCGAGGCGCAGAGAAUAGGUCCAGGCAACUGUUUAACAAAAACACAGGGCUGUGCAAAUUUGAAAGAAGAAGUAUACAGCCUGACACCUGCCCGGUGCCGGAAGGUUAAGAGGAGAGCUCAUCAGCGAUGAGAAGGUUUGAAUUGAAGCCCCGGUAAACGGCGGCCGUAACUAUAACGGUCCUAAGGUAGCGAAAUUCCUUGUCGGGU
Molecule: ribosomal RNA, 1964 nt
Filed under: human gut metagenome
Description: bacterial LSU rRNA
Rfam family: Bacterial large subunit ribosomal RNA
Source: RNAcentral